This 2311-nucleotide long non-coding RNA is filed under the name Solanum tuberosum (potato). RNAcentral describes it as "long non-coding RNA (STUB_LNC001462)". The record is from RNAcentral. Lineage: Eukaryota; Viridiplantae; Streptophyta; Magnoliopsida; Solanales; Solanaceae.
GGUGUACCCUUGGGUCGUGACAAAAAUGGUCUAACUUCUUUGCAAAAUUAUUCUUUCUCAAACCAACAAACGAGUUAAGCAACAAUAUGAACUUAAUUUAAAGGGCAUUAUUCUAAGCCAAAUUAAUAUACCAAACCCAAUAUCUAAAUGAGGGGAAGGUGAGUGACUAUGUCUUGCUAACAUUCUUAGUUCGUUAGUUUGCAUAAAUUCAAAUAUAAAUUGAAACAAACACAAAUAUAAGUGCAAAAAAAUGUACAAAUCGUUAGUCAACGAUAACAACAUAUAUGUAUGCAUAAAAAUGUAAAGUUUUGAGAUAAGGAGGAAGUGCGAGAUUUUCUUUUGGGAGGAGAAAGUCAUUCUAGACGAGCUAAAAUGCAUAUAUUGGUCGCUUCUCUAAUUUGGAUAGAGAUGGAGUCAUAUCGCAACUCCAAACGCGCUCCCCUCCCCAGUGUACAUGUAUAACAGAGAAAGGAAAAAGAGAUUAGUAAGACGAUUUAACUUUAGAUGAUAUUUAAUAUAUAAAUAAACCAAGCAAAAUCAUACAAUAAAUAUACCACUCUGGAACAAGAAGAUGGAAACGUCGGACAAGACACAUUUUUUGCAGCAGGCGACCAACUAAAUAUAACCAAAUCACAUAUAUUUUGAGCACAUGCCAACAUGAAUAACCAAGUCACAGUACUUCAAAUUUACACAUGCCACACACACGCACGCGCGCGCACAUAUAUAUAUAUAUAUACUAAUAGAAUUAAUAAAGAAAUUUUAAAACUCAUAUUUUUAUGGGUAUAGGAAAGAAGAGGCAAGCUGCAUUUGAGACAUUUGCACAAUCAAAAAUUACAUUCUUCACAAAACAACAUAUGCGCGCGCGCACAUAUAUAUAUAUAUACUAAUAGAAUUAAUAAAGAAAUUUUAAAACUCAUAUUUUUAUGGGUAUAGGAAAGAAGAGGCAAGCUGCAUUUGAGACAUUUGCACAAUCAAAAAUUACAUUCUUCACAAAACAACAUAUGCGCGCGCGCACAUAUAUAUAUAUAUACUAAUAGAAUUAAUAAAGAAUUUUUAAAACUCAUAUUUUUUAUGGGGUAUAGGAAAGAAGAGGCAAGCUGCAUUUGAGACAUUUGCACAAUCAAAAAUUACAUUCUUCACAAAACAACAUGAUCUGCUCAUCAUUUAAAAAAAAAAAACUAAAACACAACAAAACUAUAUCUUUUAAAACAAGUUUUCUGUAUUGAAAAACAUGAACUGAAAACUCUUAUCACAUGAUCAUCUAUCUGGAGUAAAAGAAACAAAACUAAUUCAUGUAAUCAUGAAAAGAAAACAGUUUUGAAGCUCAACGUCUAAAACACGAAAAUUAAAAUAAAUUCAAUCUUUGUACAGAUCUCAAAACAGGGUUCAAAUACAUUCUUUAACCUUGGUUUUUACCUUGGCUAUAGAUAUAAGGUCUAUUGAAUAUAUAUCUAAGAGGGAGGGAUUAACUUCCAUAAUCAUAGCUUAAUACAAAACAGAACAAUGAUCAUGGAUCAUAGACUAUAUACUGUCCAAAAUUCACAACAUAAAAGAAAGCUAACAACAUGAACAAACAUCCCGUAAAACGAAGAUCCUAAAAAAUGUGAUUUCUAAUGAUAAAAUAAAGAGAUUCGAGUCAGAUUUUCACCUGUUUCGGGGCAAUGAACUGAAGCUCUUUUGACCUCGGAUAUACCCCUAAAGUUGGACUAAUUCGGACUCGACCACGCACAAGAAUCCAAGGACAAUGAAAAAUAAUAAAAAGUUGGAUAUUUCCAAGAGUAAAAGAGAUGUUUUAGGCAGUUUUUGGUUGUGUGUUUUGUGAUUGACAGGAAACAUGUCUUAAAACGAAUGCCUAAGCUUGAUAUUUAUAGAGACCAAUUAAGGGUUCAAGGAGAAUCCUUUAGGCGGGAUUUUGAUUUUUAAAUUGAGUGACAAGACUCCUUGAACUUCGGACAAUACACCAUGGCAGAAAACUUUGCAGAAGCAAUUGAUUUUUAUGACCAAAAUAGUGAGUCUCUACUGAAGCGUAAGGAUUUGAUACAUUUUUUAACAUAGAAGUAGACGAUCUUCUGCAACACGCUAUGGGGAGAAGGAACUUGCUCGAAAAUGGCCGAGCCAAAUAUGGAUUUUGAGGGGCAAAGGCCAAAACUUUGUCAAAAAUUCAGGUUUUUUCGGCUAAAGAGAUAGAUAGAUAGAUAGAGAGAGAGAGAGGCGUCUGAUGACACCAAAUGAAAAAAAAUAAAUUAUUUUAUGAAAUCCAAGGGUAUUUAGGAUAAAAUAGGUAGAUUAAAUGAGGUAUUCAAUGUAUUUG